GCCAACACCUGUUGCGACAGCUGGCUUGGAGAAAGUGAGACUCAAUAUUUUUCUUGAAGUAUCUUUUUCCUUUCCAUUCUGUGUUAGUGUUUCUCUCUCUUUUCCCUUCUCUCUCCCUUCUCAACUUUCAUCAGCCUCUUCAUCUGGUGUUCAUCUUCCGAGUGUGAGCUUUCUGUUUCGAUGACAUUUUCCUAAAAUUUUUAUUUAGACCUUAUCCUCUUUACCGGAGUUGUACAUUGUCGUUUGCAAAAGUGGAAAAAAUGAGAAUAAAUUAAUACACCUCCAAGGAAUGAAGAGGCUUCACCAAAUACGGGAAGCUCCCAUGUUGUAGUGGACGAAGAACGAUGGCAUUUCCCUCAACAGCUUAGGUUGGAAAUGCACUAUAUGAUGGUCAACUUCUUGAUGUUCAUUUUACACGGUCCUUCUACAAGCAUAUAGUUUGAGCUCUGACAUAUCAUGAUAUCAAAGCUAUUGAUCCUAACCACUUCAAAAAUUUGAAAUGACUGCUUGAGGUGCAGUAAUUUCUGUUUUCUUUGUGAUUAUAGAAAUUAACCUGGUAAUCAAAAAUAGAACAUCACCAGAGCAAAACUGGAACAUAAAUUGAAUUUCUUAAAAAAGAAAAACAAAAGCGAGACUAGAAACAGAAGCACUUGAAAUAAAAAGAUUAGUAACAGAUAUGAAGAUUUAAGUGAGAGAUAAAGAGUCGGAGAAAGGAACGAAGAGUUAAGAAGGAGAAGUGGAAAACACACGUUCCAAAAAGUUACACGCGUGUCACCCAAAAAGAGGAGAAGUGAGGAGUCGUGUCUAUAGUAAAAGAGUAAAAAAAUCAUUAUGACCAAGUUUAAUUGUACAAAACACAACCAUUGAAAUUUCAGCAUUUGUGUUACUGUGGUUCUCGUUUCCAUUUGUGUAAUGCAGGUGGCUGACAACGGACUAAUCCCGGGUGGAUAAAAUAUCAGAGUCGCUGAGGAAAAUAAGCAAUAGUAUGUUGACUUGGUUGCUGAGAAUCGUUUGACGACUACUAUCUGCCCUCUGAUAAAUGCAUUUUUGGAACGAUUUAAUUAAUUGAUCCCGCAGGAUCUGAUCUCUAUUUUUCAUGACAAGGAAAUUGAGUUGUUAACCAUCGGUCUUCCAAACAUCGAUGAUCAUCGAUCGUCUGAGAUGGAUGUAGAGGCAAAAAAGGAAAUGAGGAGUUUAUGAAAAUGGGCUAUAAAUUAGAAGUGGCCAAAUCAUUCAUCUUUAUUGGAACAUUUGGAUUAUGUAUUUAUGUUGAGCAUCAUCUAGUGGAGGAUGAUUGCAGCACGAUUAAGAGAUUGAAUUGCUAAUUAUAAAAGUUGUCUUGGAGUCUUUUUGAGAAUUAAGGGCUCAUUUAGUACAAGGGAUAAGGGAUAAAUACUUGCGGGGUUAAAUUUGAGGUGAGUUUAUCUCAUGUUUGGUUGGGAUAAAAUCUCAGUACAACUAAUCCUUGGAUCAGUUAUCCGAGGAUUGUAGUGUGAUUGUAUUCCUAUGGGAGGGUGGAAUAACUAAUUCCGGUAUAAGUAAUACUCGGAUAACUUGUUUCCCAACUAAACGACCCCCAAGAGUUAUCUGGUAGCUUUUUCAUUGCUGGAAAGGUAGAAUGGGAUGCACCAGCUGAUAAUUCUUAGUUCACCAGUUGAAAAUAUUAUGCACUUGCCAGACAUAAAUUAUUCACAGUUACAUGUGUUAACAUCUGUUUUGAGUCCAAGUGUUCAAUUUGGAGUCCUUUUGUGCUUCUGCUUUUUCUUUCGAGGUUUCUCAAACAUGUAGUUAUAUAUUUUGGUGUUUGAAGUCUGCUUUGAGUUCUUUAGGUUGGUCUUCCACGAGAGAAUUCAACUGUUUCAUGGUCAAAAGUUCACAUGUACUGCGGAGAGAGAAUAAAAGCGGGGCAUGCAUCUACUUUUGAAGAGAUGUUUAGUUUCUUAACAUUCAAGUUUGUUUGUAAUUAUAAUUAAGGGUACAUAAAAUACCUUAUUUGUAUAUGUUGCUAUGAUUCAAUCAAUGACAAUUAUAAUGGACGUUCUCAUA
Lycium barbarum (goji berry) is the source of this 2046-nucleotide long non-coding RNA. RefSeq lists it as uncharacterized. The record is from RefSeq and is a predicted model, not a curated record. The transcript has 4 exons. NCBI's taxonomy places the organism in Eukaryota, Viridiplantae, Streptophyta, Magnoliopsida, Solanales, Solanaceae.